CAGCUUGUUGGUGAGGUAAUGGCUCACCAAGGCGACGAUCCGUAGCUGGUCUGAGAGGACGAUCAGCCACACUGGGACUGAGACACGGCCCAGACUCCUACGGGAGGCAGCAGUGGGGAAUCUUGCGCAAUGGGCGAAAGCCUGACGCAGCGACGCCGCGUGAGGGAAGAAGGCCUUCGGGUUGUAAACCUCUUUCAGGAGGGACGAAGCCACUCAGGUUAAUAGCCGAGAGGGUGACGGUACCUCCAGAAGAAGCCCCGGCUAACUACGUGCCAGCAGCCGCGGUAAUACGUACGGGGCAAGCGUUGUCCGGAAUUAUUGGGCGUAAAGAGCGUGUAGGCGGCCAGAUAAGUCCGCUGUGAAAACUCGAGGCUCAACUUCGAGCUGUCGGUGGAAACUAUCUGGCUAGAGUCCGGAAGAGGAGAAUGGAAUUCCUGGUGUAGCGGUGAAAUGCGCAGAUAUCAGGAAGAACACCCGUGGCGAAGGCGGUUCUCUGGGACGGUACUGACGCUGAGACGCGAAAGCGUGGGGAGCGAACAGGAUUAGAUACCCUGGUAGUCCACGCCGUACACGAUGGGUGCUA
RNAcentral lists this ribosomal RNA (583 nucleotides) under uncultured Actinomycetes bacterium. RNAcentral's name for it is "SSU rRNA". It matches the Rfam family "Bacterial small subunit ribosomal RNA", at positions 242 to 818 of the family's 1533-position model. The record is from RNAcentral. Lineage: Bacteria; Bacillati; Actinomycetota; Actinomycetes.